CAGUAACAUGUCUACUCUGUUAUUAUUAUUAUUACUCAUUUUUUUGCUAAUUCUGUAUGCUAACAAAAAAAAUCCUACUUAAAUUUUUGUUGUUGAUUCUGCAAACAAUUUGAGCUGCUGCCAGCACAUGUCUACUUUUUUUUUCUCCAUCCUGCUCAGAGGUGUACCUAGGAUUUCUAUAUGUCCUUAGUUGUUAUCAGUGUUUCGUUUUCCUUAGUUUUUAAGGUUUAUGCUACCUGCCUUUUAGACGCAUGUUUUGAUUUAUAGUUUUCAAGGAAAACUGUUGUACAGAAACCUUGCUUACACCUCUGCCAGGUUACCAUGUGGGAGUGCUAGGCUAGCUAAUCUGUCCAUGGCAAGUUUUGGUUACAUUGUGUCACCAAAUUCAGCAUUAGUUGUACAGCCAAAAAAACAACUCUUGGUACUUCUGAAAUUUCCCUGCCUACCUACCAGUAUUAUAAGAUUACUCCGAUGCUUGAAGUUUCGAAUUAUUCACAAACAGCCUCAUUAACUAAAGUGCUGGAGGGGCAAUGCACUGCGAUCCUACAUAUAUCUAGUCUAGCCAUGCAUAAUCAUCAGCUAUGUUAGACUUAUUAUGUCUGUAUAAUAUUCCUCCACCUUCGCGAUGUCCCGAAUCAAUUAUAUAUGUAUCUUAUAUAAUAAUGUUGUGUGCCUCUGCUUAUGGAUUAUUCAUAGUAAACAUUAAAUUGAAUCACAAAUAGUCCCACUAUAUACCUAUACAUAUAUUUGCGUACCGCUCUUUGCUAUUUAUGAAUACAUAAA
Long non-coding RNA from Sorghum bicolor (sorghum), 783 nucleotides. RefSeq lists it as uncharacterized. The transcript is spliced from 2 exons. The record is from RefSeq and is a predicted model, not a curated record. Lineage: Eukaryota; Viridiplantae; Streptophyta; Magnoliopsida; Poales; Poaceae.